Molecule: long non-coding RNA, 40995 nt
Filed under: Gossypium raimondii (Peruvian cotton)
Lineage: Eukaryota; Viridiplantae; Streptophyta; Magnoliopsida; Malvales; Malvaceae
Description: long non-coding RNA (GRAI_LNC010255)
Source: RNAcentral
AAUGCAGCUGCAUUUAUGCCCUUUGGAUUGGGACCUCGAUGUUGCGUAGGCAUGAGCUUUACAAUCAUUCAAGCGAAAAUUGCACUUUCCAUGAUUCUGCAACGCUACACUAUCAACCUCUCCCCUAGCUAUGUUCAUGCACCUUUACAACGUCUUACACUCAGGCCACAACAUGGGAUUCAGUUGUUGUUUCAUUCACUACGUUAUGAUGCUUAAAAUUCUAGGCUGUUGGUCUCCAAUAUAGUAAUAUAUAAUAAAAUGUGGGUAAUACUGUAUUUUGCAACCAUAUGAUGAUAUAUGGUUUUGGGAUUUCAUGUUUUGUUGAUAUUGUUAAAGGUUAAAAAGGUAUUACAGCAAACGUCGCCACCACAGGAGCAGGCCCUACAGUCCUGUACAUAACAUAAUCAACAACAAAAUAGUCCACCAAAGAGAAAUCAAUUCAAACUACCCCAAAAAGCUGGAACGGCAGCGGCAAAUCCAGUCAGCUCCCUGAACAUUAUACAGCAACACAGGAACAAGAACAUCACAACCCAGUCAUAUACAUGCCAUGAAGACAUUGGACUCCACAUUUUGCUAAAGUAUCAGCAAAGCAGUUAGAUUCUCUAUACACAUUCACAAAGGAGACAUUAUGGGAUCUCAUCACACAGCUUGGAAUAUGACCCAUCCAGCAUUUGAGAAACGGUGAAGAUGUCAAGUCCAGGAGCUCCAAACAAUGCCUCAGCCGGUGGACCCUAUAAUUAGGUGUCUUUCUUCCAUUACUACUGCAGUAGUGAAGUUUUUAUUGCACUUGGUUCCCUUCUUCCAGAGUUUCUGCUUGAAGCACUCACUCCUGGAGCCGGCCAUUGCUUGUUUUCAUUUUUAAUUUUUUAAUAUAAUAUAUUACAAAAUAUGAAUGGUCGUUAAAAUUUAUUGCUAAAUGUUGUAUUACCAUUGCUAAAAUUUUAUUUUAACAAAAAAAAUCGUUGUGAGUUCAUCAUGUAUACCUCCUUUGUAUAAAAUAUGCACAGAAAUUGAAAAGUCGUUUUUAAUUAUAUAUAUUGUAACAUCUUUUUUCGUUUUAAAAUAUAUUUUUUUUCUUAGCGAUAUAAUUUGUUUAUCUAAUAGUGUUUUAGUUAUAAUAAAAUUUGUUACAAUAUCUUUAACACAAUGAUAAUAUUUACAAAUACUAUUACGUAACAAUAGUAUAUUGGUUGCAAAAUAAAAUUUGCAAUAAUGUAAAAUUAAAUUGCUAAGCUUUUUACGUAACAAUAAUAAUAUUGAUUACCAAAUAUUAUUUUGUAAGGAUAUUUUAUUUGGUUGUGUAUUACAUUGUGCAAUGAUUAUAUUUCAUUGCCAAAAAAAUAUUUUAGCAACCAUUAAACGUGGUUGUCAAAUCAAUUACGUAACAAUAAUACUAUUGGUUGUUAAAUAUUAUUCUGCAAUGAUGUUUUAAUUGGUUGUGUACUAAUUGUGCAACAACUGUAAAAAUUUAUUUAAACAACCAUAAAAUGUGGUUGCCAAAUAGUUUGCGCAACAACAACAACAAUAAUAUAGUUGCUAAUGCAUUUACAUAACAAUUUUUACUUAGUUAUGAAAUAUUAAUUUACAAUGACAUAAUAUUUGGUCACGUCUUAUAUUACACGAUAUUUAAAUAUUGUGCAAAGUUAAUUUUAACAACCAUAAUAUUUUGUUGCAAUAUUUUUAUAUGUAACCAUAUUAUAAUGUUCGUUGAAAUUUAUUUUGCACCAAAACGUUAUCUAAUUGAUAAUAAAAAGAAGUAAUUACAAAUAUUAAAGAAAUUAGUUAUUUGUUUAAAAACAAUAUUACCAAAAUUUUAAGCUCGUUUGUUAGAGUCCAGCCUAAAAAUGGGCCUAAAUUUUUUUCAAGUCCAACCCAGAUAAAAAUGUCAAACCCGGUCCAACCUCGUCUUCUCGAAUGAGGGUUAGCAAAAUUCGAUUUAAUUCAAAAAAUUUAAUAAAAUAUUCAAAUUUUAAAUUAAAUAGUUCGAGUUAUUAAUGUUAAUCGAUUUAUUUGGAUUAACUCGAAUAAAAAAAAUUAAAAUUUUCAGUUUAACUCGAAUAUGAAUUACAUAAUUCGGGUUAUCUGAAAAUCUGAAUAAAAAAAUAUAAAACUACGUUGUUUUGAUAAAUAUUUAGAUUUUCUAAAGUUGAAGCCAAAACCAUUAAGUUAAAAACAAAACAAUUAUAUUGUUUAUGUAGUUAUAUAAUCUUGUAUUUCGUCUACUAGUUAAAUAAGCGGCCCAUGUAAAUGCAACAUUGAGUAUAAAUAAUAGGAUUUGUUAACUCUAAUUGACUUGACUCAAAAUUUUUUGACUCUAUUCGAUUCGAAAAAUUUUCAAAUUGAGUUCGGUUAAUAGGAUUCGUCAACUCGACUAACUCAAAAUUUUUUUACUCGAUCUAAUAUUCACCCCUAUUUCUAAACUAUAACAGUUAAUGGAAACUUGUUAAGUCAUAAAAAAUUCAAGUAAAUGUUUUAAACUUGAGUUUUAUGAAUACAAAAAAUAAUUUUAAAAGCUAUUUUAAAUUAUAAAAUUUAUUUGGUAUAAAUUAAAAUUAAAUACAAAAUAUAAUUAGAUUGUUUGAUAAAAUAUAAUUUUUUAAGAAUUUAAAGGUGGGGUAUUUGAAGGAUUUAAAAGAGAUAAAAUAAGAAUAAUUGAAACAAAUUCUACAUUAAGUUAUUUAUCUACUUUUCAUUUUCCACAUCUUUUCGUAGAAAAAUCCAAUCAUUUGUCUUUUAUUAUGAAUCAUCAAACUUGCUUAAAAACAUAAAUUAUUAGUUGAUUUAUUUUGUUUUCAAUUCAUUAUCAAACAAGCCCUUAGUUAAUGUUCUCCAAGUUCAAGUGCCAUUUAUGUCAAAAAAAAGUUUAAGUAAUAGUAACAUAAACAUUCAUUUAAUUAUAACAAUAAAGUUAAAGCCAUGAAUAUUUUCAAAAAAAUUCAAUUAAGUCCUUGAAUGUUAAAAUUUCAAUCAAUUAAGCUCUUUGAUAGUUAAAGUUAACAGUUAAUUGUUGUAGUUAAAAUUUCAAUCAAUUAAGGCACGGUGUAGCGUUUGUUUACCUCAUCCUUUAACCAUGUGGUUGAGGGUUCAAUCCCCACGUAUGGGAAUAAAGCACAUUUCAUGCUCAAUUAUUUACCUAUUUGGAGAGCACUCAUAGUGAGGAGAUUAAACCUUGUUAUUGCUGGUGAAUACCCUAAUUAUGACAAAUAAAAAAUAACAACUACCAUUUUUUUUGGAUUAUUUUUGUCAAGUGGUGAAAAUUAUUUUAAUUUUUAUUAAAAAUCAUAUAAAAAGUAUAAAAAUUAUACAAGAAUUAUAAAAAUGCAUAAAUUAGAAAAAAUAUAUAUAAAAAAAUCUAUUGUGAAAACAUAAAAUUAUAGAAAUAUAAUUGCUCCCCCAAAUUCCAUGUUUCCUCUAACUCGUCUAACUGGAUUCUCCCUUAGAAUCAACUUAUUUGGAUUGUGAAAAUCUCCAUCCGAUAUUGAGCAAUUUGCACAAAUGUUGGUAACAUUUUAUAAAAUUAUUUUUUUUGUAAAAAAAAAAGUGAAAAGAAAAUCCAAUUAUAUGGAAUUGGUUUAUUCUCUAUGCAUGUGGAUCACCAUUUGAACAAGCAUAGACGACAAGGUGGACUCGUGAAAAGAAAACAUUUGUUGCAUCAUUGUUGUUUCCAUAUUCUCGCCUACCCAAAGCAGAAAUAAAGGGUGAAUUUGGCAUAUUAGCACCAUUUCUACCUCCUUUCUCCCUCUAUAUAAACCUCUUCCCACCCAAGCUGCCAUUGCCAAAACCCAUCAACUUCACCUCUAUUCUUCUUACUUGAGACCUAUAUUUAGUCUUGAAAUUUGACUCUGAAAAUGGGUUUCGCAUUUGCAUAUCGACUUAUCUUAGUCGUGGCAGUUGCUUCCGUGUUGGGAAUAAGCCUGGCAAAUAAAGACUGGGGCUCCCCUAAUUCCAACUACACUGGUUGGGGUUGGGGCUGGGGCUGGGGCUCCUCGAAGUCUAACCACACUGGUCAAGGCUUUAAUAACCAUCCCGUGAAUGAAACUCAAGGACCCAAAAAGAUAAUUGUUGGUGGAUCAGAAAACUGGCAUUUCGGCUUCAACUACUCCGAUUGGGCAUUCAACAAUGCACCCUUUUACUUCAACGAUACUCUAGGUGAGUCCAUAAUAUUACAUUUUACAAACCAAAGAAAUGGGAAGCUACCUUGUUUUUAUAUUUAUUUGCUGAAAUAAAUGAUGUUUUGAAUUGGUUUGCGUAGUGUUCAAGUACGAUCCACCAAGCAACACCACAUUCCCUCACAGCGUUUACUUGUUUCCCGACCGAUGGAGCUACUUGAAUUGCGACUUAAAGAGAGCGAAGAUGGUGGCAAAUGCAACCCAAGGCGGUGGCGAUGGGUUCGAGUUUGUGCUCAAGAGGUGGACACCCUAUUACUUUGCUUGUGGUGAACGUAAUGGCUUCCAUUGUAAGGUCGGCAGCAUGAGGUUCAUGGUGAUGCCACUCUUUCGUUGGCAUUACUAGAAUACUUGGGAGAUGAUCACAAAUUAAGGAAUAUCGACAUCCAAUAUAACAAAGAUAUUUAGACUUCGAUGACAAAAUUAAUGUGUAAUCGUUUCUUAAAAUGAUGAAUAAUUUAACUGUCAUCUUAUUAUUUAUUUUAUCAAUAAUUUCGUUACAGGUUUUUUUUUUUACACAAUGUUUAGAAUUAUCUAUAGUCUCUUUCUAACCUAUAAAUAGGAAAGUAAUGCGCUUUAACACACUCGAAUUCACAUCCUCCUGCAUUGACAACAAUAUCCAUGCCAAUUGAAUUAAAACUCAAUCGACUUCUUAAUUUAUUUCAAAAGAAAAAAAUACAUCUUUAAUUUGGACCUUUACUUAGUUAACUAAUUUAAAAGACAUUAAAUCUUCUUUAAUUCUACAGUGAUCUGUAAGUUUGAACAUCCAUUUGCCAUGUUAAUGUUAAGUGAUAUAUAUACGGGGCUUAUAGGGAUAGAAAGCCUUUAAGAAAGAAAAUUUUAUGCCCUUCAACUUAAUUCACACUCAAUUAAGUUGUUAUCCUUAAUUCACACUCAAUUAAGUUGUUAUCAUUAAUCCAAAAAAUUAAUUAAGUCCCUUAAUUGUUGAUUUUCAUCUUUGAUCCCGUUGAUGAUUAAAAUUAGCUAAUCGGAUGGCGGUAUUUACCUAAUUCAUAUUUAAUUUUUUAUUUUUCUAAUAAAAAUUAUUAAAAAUUAUAAAUACAAUGUCAAAUUUACCCUCAAUGUUUGCAUUUUUAUUAAUUUAGUCCUUAUUUUGUUUAAACUAAAUUUAAUCAUUAAUCUUUCAAAAAGAGUUAAAUCGCUCUUUUUUUAAUGAAGAUGUUGACUAAAACACUGAUUUUUUAAUGAUGGUGCGACAACCCGCGUUAUAUUUUGUACUUCAUAUUGACAUGACAUUAUUUGCCUUUUAUAUUACGUCAAUAAAUGAUUUAAAAUUUAUAAAAAUAUUAAACAAAACUCAAAAUUUAAGAAAUUAUAAAAAAAUCAUAAAAAAAAAUAAGAAAAAUAGUAUGAAAUACAUUUAGAUUGCCACGUAAGCUAUUAUGUUUAAAAUUUUAACAUUUUAAUUAGUAUUUUCAUUAUUUUUGUUAAAAAAAUAACAACUCCAUUCUUUUCGAAAAGUUGAUUAAAUUCGUUUUUUUUUAAAGGUGAAAUUUAACUUGCAAUUGGAGAAGGAGGAGUCGCUAUAUAAGCCAAGGUGAAGGUGCAACAAAGGGUAUUGGGUUCAUGCAAUGCAUUGGGUUAAAAAAAUGUUUUUUCCGAGUUUUUAUAAUUUUGUAUGAUUUUUCUUAUAAUUUUUUUUAUUUUUAUAAAAAAAAUAAAAGAUUAAAUCUGAAGUUACCAUUUAUCUAGGUUGAUUUUAAUAAUCAACAAAAUCAAUAACGGAAGAGUUAACAGUAAAAUUUGAAUGGUUGCAAGGGGCUUAAUUAUAUUUUUAAUUAUUUUUGGUUUAAGAGCUUUUUAGAGGGAUGAGUGGGAAUUUCUAUUUAUUCAAUCAAAGUAGAGUACAAACAUGGCAUAAUGAAGUCCCAAAGCAUUAGAAAGUGCAAGAUCGUGGAACCUAAAAGUUACUAUUCCUGGCUUAUAGUUGAAUGUUUUCGAAGCCAAAGUUUGAAAAUGAAAAUGACAAUCAACAGGUAAAGCUGUCAUUAUUACAUCACAUAAACGUAUGACUAACUAUGUCCUGUCAACCCCAGAUCAAAGUAUGGCACUUUUCACAUUUUGUUAUGGUAGUGGAGAAGACGUAACACAAUCCAAGAACUAAAACUGAACUGAAUGAUCAAAGGCAAUUUACAAAAUUCCCCACCUACCACCAUUAGCCAACGGCGGCACCUCGGCUCACCCACCAUCACAAUCAUAUGAUUUUUCACACUGCUUCUAAACUUUAACUGUUAAUGGAAACACAAGGAAAUGGUAAACACAGUUCAAUGCUCUCUGACCAAUAACUUUUAAAACCCAAGAAAAACCAACGCCAACCCAUAUAAUUCCCAAACCCAAGCAAAAUCAACAUUUAAAAUGGGUUUAGUUUCAGAAUCUUUUAAGGCAGUUUGGAGUUUGGUAUCAAUAUGAGAAAAAAAAAACAAAGAUUUAAGUAUCAAUGUGGAAAACAGGUAUAAUUUGAAGGCUAAAAUGAGAAUAAAGCCAAAUAUUUGCCAUAUCAUUGCUGUUUCCAUUUUCUCGCCUACCCAAAGCAGAAAAAAAGGUCAAUUUGGCACAUUUGCACCAUUUUCCACCUCCUUUCUCCCCUUUAUAUAAACCUCUUCCCCAACAUGCCAUUGCCAAAAACCAUCAACUUCAACUCCAUUUUCUUUUAGCUGAAUCUUAUAUUGAGUCUUGAAAUUUGACUCUGAAAAUGGGUUUCACGUUUGCAUAUCGACUUAUCCUAGUUGUGGCAACUGCUUCCGUGUUGGGAGUAAGCCUGGCUAAUAAGGACUGGGGCUCCCCUAACUCCAACUACACUGGCUGGGGUUGGGGUUGGGGCUCCUCUAAGUCUAACCACACUGGUCAAGGCUUUAAUAACCAUCCCUUGAAUGAAACUCAAGGAUCCAAAAAGAUCAUUGUUGGUGGAUCAGAAAACUGGCAUUUUGGCUUCAGCUACUCCAAUUGGGCAUUCAACAAUGCACCCUUUUACUUCAACGAUACUCUAGGUGAGUCCUUAAUAUUACAUUUUACAAACCAAAGAAAUGGGAAGCUACCUUGUUUUUAUAUUUAUUUGUUGAAAUAAAUGGUGUUUUGAAUUGGUUUGCAUACGUAGUGUUCAAGUACGAUCCACCAAGCAAUACCACAUUCCCUCACAGCGUUUACUUGUUUCCCGACCGAUGGAGCUACUUGAAUUGCGACUUAAAGAGAGCAAAGAUGGUGGCAAACACAACCGAAGGCGGUGGCGAUGGGUUCGAGUUUGUGCUGAAGAGGUGGACACCCUAUUACUUUGCUUGUGGUGAGCGUAAUGGCUUCCAUUGUAAGGUCGGCAGCAUGAGGUUCAUGGUGAUGCCACUCUUUCGUUGGCAUUACUAAAAUCUUGGAGAUUAUCUCAGAGAAAGAUCGACAUCCAACAUAACUCACAUAUAUAUAGAGUUUUAUUUCACUUUGUUGACAAAAUUAAUGUGUGAUUGUUUCUUAAUAUGGUUGAGAAGCUACUAGUUUGGUUUAUUUUAUGUUGUAAUGAUGCAAAAUAAGCCGUGUUAUAAUUGCACUUAAAGUUUAUAUUGAUGAACAAAUUAACCUUUCUUAAUUUGUUUCAAAGAAAGAAGUUUAAUGAGGGCAAUCUCUUUAAUUUUAUACUUUACUCAUUUAAAGUAUUAGAUACUUUUAAAUCUGCAAUAUUUAGAAAUUUGUUUAAUAUCAUAUAUUAUUAGAGUUAAUACAUUAAUAAUCAAAUAUUUAAGUUUUUAUAGGUGAAUGAAUCACAAGUAAAGUGACAAAAGAUCUGCAUUCAAAUAAUCAAUUAACACCAAUCUCGAGUUCAAUCUUGAACAACAUUAACCCUUACAGAAAAAGAUUUUGGAUACCAGCAUGGAAUUGAUCACUCAUUGACAUACAGGGGCAUAGCAAAAGGGGCGGGAGGGGCCUUGGCCCCCUUUGACUGGAUGGAUUAUUUGUUAUUUUAGUACUUUCUAAAUGUAAAUGGUUCAAUUUUUUAGCUUGUUUUAAAUAAAAGAAAUUUAAUUAUAGCCCUUUCAAAGUUUAAAAAAUACAAUUUAAAUCAUUUUAAUGCAAAUUUUUUAACUUUGACCCCAAUUUUUUUUUAGUUUUAUUUUUACUCCCAUCACAUAAUUCUUAGCCCCCAUUGGUAUGCUCAUGGAUAAAGGCAUACGACAGGGGCGAAGUUAGAAAAAUCUUUUAAAGGAGUAGAAAUUAAAUUGUAAUUUUUACGAUAGUAAAAAUGUAAUUUCACCAUUUUAAUAGCUUAUAUCUUUAUAAUUUUUAAAGAAUUAAAUCAAAUUUUUUUCAUUUAGAGAGAUUAAAAUAUAAUUUUAACUUUACUAAUUUAAAAAUUAUUUUUAGAAGUGAGGUACCCUUCCAUUAGCAUAUUAUACACUCCUUCGCAAAGAACUUGAUAGUGGCGAAGUUAAAGUGUUAAGGGUGUAGAAAAAGGCCUUGUCUGUUUUGAUUAAAUGAAAAAGAAUUUCCUUUAAAUCCUCUCAAAAUAGAAAUCAUUUAACUUAAUCCUUUUAGCUCUUGAAUGAAAUAAAAUAUUACAAAUUAGAGACUAGGCUACGGUUUAUUGAGGAAAAAGAGAAAGACAAUCAAUCGAGUUACCUCCUAUGACCAAGUUACCUCCGCUCCAAACGAGUUGAAUUCGACUCCAUAACAGACGGGGGACGUCUGAUUUCACCAAUCACUAUAGAACCUUCCAGAAUAUAAAGACUGACGGUUCUUUUACCUUUUAACAAAACGAGAGCUCCACGAGAUACUUUAAUGUCGGUCGACUCGAUGUUGAUUCUGCAUCCUUUCAAGUCUGAAAAACUCAAAGAGAUGAGAUUCUUUCGUAAAUUAGGUACAUACCUGACAUCUGAGAGUGUCCUAAUCAUCCCGUCGUGUAUCAUAAUUUUAACAGUACCAAUACCAAUUACCUUACUAGAUGAAUCGUUUCUUAUGCGCACAACUCCACCUUUAACCGAACUGUAUGUGGAGAACCAUUCUCUAUUGGGACACAUGUGGAAAGAACAUCUCGAAUCUAGGAUCCACUCGGACGUGAGCUUGGAGUUAUCGCUCAUUGACACUAAUAAGAAAUCAUCACUGCUUUCAUCGGCCAAAUUAGCACUAGCUACAUCUUCCUCGUUACUCUCAGCAGGUCUUUUAUUUUACAGUUUAUAACAAUUUGCUUUAACGUGACCUAACUUUUUACAAUAGCGACACCUUUUGUCUCGUUUCUUUGAUGCUAUCAAAAUGGAAGCUUGCCUAUCUGCCUUACUAUCCAAACCAAACUCAUUGUCGAGUUUGUCUCUACUCAACAAAUGACCCUUCACAUAUUGGAACGAGAGUUUGUCUCUGCCAUAAAUCAAGAUCUCCCUCAAAGACUUGUAUGAAUGAGUAAAGAGCACAAUAAUAGCAUAGUCUGAUCUUCAUCGUCAAUAUGAACCUCAAUGUUCUUUAAAUCAUUUAAAAGAGUAAUGAAUUGACUGAUGUGAUCUCUAAGAAGUUCACCUUCGUUCAUGCGAAACGUAAAUAGACGUUGUUUCAACACUAAACGGUUAGCCAGAGACUUAGUCGCAUAAAGAGUUUCUAACCUUUUCCACAAGGCAGAUGAGGUCUUCUCCAUCAACACAUCUUGCAAUACCGUAUUUGUGAGGCACAACUGGAUUGCAGAUAAGGCCUUUUCAUCAAGCUCUUCCCAUUCUGUUUGAUUUAGAUUCUCAGGCUUUUUUCCGAUAACAACCUUUUUCAAGCCGGUUUGAACUAGAAUUGCCAUCAUCCGAACUUGCCACAGAUUGAAAUUUGUCUCACCAUCGAACUUUUCAAUUUCAAACCUUAUUGCUACCAUCUCUGAAUGAGCUGAUUUAUGAAAAUUAAAUUAGCUCUGAUAUCACUUGUUAGGAUCGAUCCGAUUAAGUAACAAGUAAAAAAAUAACGGAAUAAAUUGAGAAAUUGAACACACAAAUUUAACGUGAAAAAACCUCUCCAAAAGGAUAAAAAAAUCACGGGCAAAGAUAAUUUUAUUAUAAUGGCAAAAGAACAAAAAGUACAAAAGAUGAAGAUAAAAACUAAACUCCAAAAACCCAAAAACAAAGAACCCUUAAAACGUAAAUACAAAAUUCUCUAAAUAUAUUAUGAGUUCUAAUCUCUAAUGGGUGUAUUUUUUAAGGUUGUAAAAGAGCCUAUUUAUAAGCUAAAUUAAUAGGUCAAAUAAUAAUAAAAUAAUCUCGCCUAAUUAGAGUUUGAUUGAAACAAAUAAACAGAGUUUAACUGAAAGAUUAUUUCUCAAAUUUGACUGAAAUAGGAGUCAUACUCAACACUAAGAAACUGGCCCAUUAUGCCUUUCUUGGGCAGAGCUUAAAAGUAAAUCAUCGCCACCUUCUACUCUAAUUAUUGUAGUGGAACAUUUACAAACUUAUACUUUUUUGCAGAAUAUGAUUCCAGCAGUAGUUGCUAGCAUUGAAACCAUGCUUGAGAAAUGGAAAAGUAAGGACGGCAAAAAGAUAGAAGUGUUCCAAGAGUUCAGAUUAUUGACUUCAGAAGUGAUAUCCAGAACCGCCUUUGGUAGCAGUUACUUGGAAGGGGAGAAGAUUAUUGACAUGUUGAUGAAGUUGACAGUAAUUGCAGGCAGAAAUAUUUAUAAAGCAGAGAUUCCCAUCAUCAGGUAACGUCAUCAAAUCUUUACUUUGCUAAUCAACAUACUUCAGCCGCCAAUGGGUUGAUUUAAUCUGGUUUUCCUUUUCAGCAAGUUUUGGAAAUCUGCUGAUGAAAUUGAAUCAGAUAAAAUUGCCAAAAUGAUACAUGAUUCUGUUAUAAAGAUUGUUAAAAAAAGGGAAGACAAAGUAGUCACUGGAGAAGCUGAUAACAUCGGUCGUGAUUUUCUGGGAUUACUUGUAAAUGCUUAUCAUGAGGCGGACCAGAAAAAUAGGCUUUCGAUACAAGAUUUGGUAGAUGAGUGUAAAACUUUCUAUUUUGCUGGGCAAGAAACAGUCAAUUCCUUGCUUGCAUGGGCAACCCUGCUUUUAGCAAUACACACCGAUUGGCAAGAUAAAGCAAGAGCAGAGGUGAUUGAGGUCUUUGAUAAUCAAAACCCAGAUUCUGAAGGGAUGGCCAAAUUAAAGACGGUAAGCAAACUAUACAAAUUCAAUAGCUUGAAAACUAACAGUGAACAUUUAUAUUGCCUUUUGGAUUUCUUUUUCUCCAACAGAUUACCAUGAUUAUCAAUGAAACUUUACGGCUCUAUCCUCCUAUAAGUGGCGUGAUAAGAAAAGUAGGAAGAGAAGUCCGAUCAGGAACACUUGUCCUGCCUAUUCAUUCAGAGGUCGACAUGCGAAUCAUAGCACUUCACCAUGAUCCUGACUUAUGGGGAGAUGAUGUUGAUCUUUUCAAACCAGAGAGGUUUGCUGACGGCUGAAACUACUAAGUACAAUGCAGCUGCAUUUAUGCCCUUCGGAUUGGGACCUCGAUCUUGCGUAGGCAUGAGCUUUACAAUCAUUCAAGCGAAAAUUGCACUUUCCAUGAUUCUGCAACGCUACACUAUCAAUCUCUCCCCUAGCUAUGUUCAUGCACCUUUACAACGUCUUACACUCAGGCCACAACAUGGGAUUCAGGCCACAACUUUUUUUUUGUUUUAAAAUAUAAUUUCUUUCCUAACGAUAUAAUUUGUUUAUCUAAAAGUGUUUUAGCUAUAAUAAAAUUUGUUACAAUAUCUUUAACACAAUGGUAAUAGUUACAAAUACUAUUACGCAACCAUAGUAUAUUGGUUGCAAAAUAAAAUUUGCAACAAUGUAAAAUUAAAUUUGCUAAGUUUUUUACGUAACAAUAAUAAUAUUGAUUACUAAAUAUUAUUUUGUAAGGAUAUUUUAUUUAGUUGUGUAUUACAUUGUGCAAUGAUUAUAUUUCAUUGUCAAAAAAAUAUUUUAACAACCAUUAAACGUGGUUAUCAAAUCAUUUACGUAACAAUAAUACUAUUUGUUGCUGAAUAUUAUUUUGCAAUAAUGUUUUAAUUGGUUGUGUACUAAUUACGCAACAACUAUAAAAAUUUAUAAAUUGAGUUCGGUUGUUAAAAUAGGAUUCGUUAACUCGACUAAUUCAAAUUUUUUUUACUCGAUCGAAUAUUCACCACUAUUUCUAAACUAUAAUAAUGGAAACUCGUUAAGUCAUAAAAAAUUCAAGUAAAUGUUUUAAACUUGAGUUUUAUGAAUACAAAAAAUAAUUUUAAAAGCUAUUUUAAAUUAUAAAAUUUAUUUGGUAUAAAUUAAAAUUAAAUACAAAAUAUAAUUAGAUUGUUUGAUAAAAUAUAAUAUUUUAAAAAUUUAAAGGUGGGGUAUUUGAAGAAUUUAAAAGAGAUAAAAUAAAAAUAAUUGAAACAAAUUCUACAUUAAGAUAUAAAUAGUUAUUUAUCUACUUUUCAGUUUCCAUAUCUUUUCGUAGAAAAAUCCAAUCAUUUGUUUUUUAUUAUGAAUCAUCAAACUUGCUUAAAAACAUAAAUUAUUAGUUGAUUUAAUUUUUUUUAAUUGAUUAUCAAACAAGCCCUUGAUUCAAGUGCCAUUUAUGUCAAAAAAGUUUUAAGUAAUAGUAACAUAAACAUUCAUUUUAUAACAAUAAAGUUAAAGCCACGAAUAUUUUCAAAAAAAUUCAAUUAAGCCCUUGAAUGUUAAAAUUUCAAUCAAUUAAGCUCUUUGAUAGUUAAAGUUAACAGUUAAUUGUUAUAGUUAAAAUUUCAAUCAAUUAAGGCACGGUGUAGCGUUUGUUUACCUCAUCCUUUAACCUUGUGGUUGAGGGUUCGGUCCCUACUUAUGGAAAUGAAGCACAUUUCAUAGUCAGUCAUUUACCUAUUUGGAGAGCACUUAUAGUGAGGAGAUUAACUACUGUUGUUGUUGGUGGAUACCCUGAUUAUGACAAAUAAAAAAUAACAACUGUCUUUUUUUUUGGAUUAUUUUUGCCAAGUGCCAUGCUAAGAUUGUGCCACGUGGUAUGAAAUUAGAAAAAUCAUAUAAAAAUUAUAAAAGAAUUAUAAAAAUGAAUAAAAUUAGAAAAAAAUAUAUAAAAAAUCUAUUUUUAAAAGGUUAAUAAAUUUUAUAUUUUAUUAUUUUUAAAAGGAUAAUAAAUUUUUAAAAGGUUUUUUUUAUUCUUAUAUUUUUAAGGGCGAUUUAAAUUUAAUUUCAAAAUAGGGCAUGCCUAAUAUAUAAAUAGACAUUUAAUUGGUGUCCAAGAGGAAUGGCGUCACUCCUAUUUUUCAUCUAGUUUAAAAAUAAUAAUUACUUCAUCAGGUAUCUGAACAUUUUAUAUAAUUUUUUUUCAGUUCGAUGUCACCAAUAACAACGACGACACCCAAAAUAUAUAUUUUUUAAAACUACCAAUGACAAUGAGUCACCGACAUUUACUGUUUAAAAUGAGUUUCAAAAUAAGUCAUUUUUAUAAAUAAUUAAAAGUUUUGGGUAUUUUUAAUAAAAAAGCCUAAGUUUGAUGAAUGGCGUCAGCCAUUAUGUAGGUCUACUUAAUACGAAAACGACGGCUUGGUUUUGUUGGCCAAAAGGAAAGUACCUUUUGGGUUUUGCUUUGCCCAAAUGCUAGCAAAGUCUUUGCAUGCAUUUGUUUGAUUGGAAAAGUGAGAAAUAGAUGAACAUGGUAAGCACAAAUUCUAGACAUUACCAUAUCACCUAUAAAAUUUAGUUAUCUUUUUAAUUUCUUUUGGUGUAUUAUAAAAAAAAAUUCUAAUAACACGACUUGAAUCAAAUCAUAUCUUAGUCAAGAGAUGGGGUUAUUUUAAUUUUUGUCUAUAAAAAGAAUCUUGUUCAUUGAGGGCCCUAGUAGGAGGUAUUGAAUAAGAACUAGAAGUCAAAUCCUGCACGCUUCCCAUUUCUGUGUAUUGAAUUGGCUGUAAUUUUCAAAGGACAUGAACCUUGAAGAGGGACAAGUGUAGUCUCUUGAUGAUAAAUGUGUUGACUGUCACCUUGCAAAACCCAGAUUACCAUAACAGGUGCAAAAUCUGAUCGGUGAAGAUAAGAAAAUGGAGACCAUGGGAAAUCUUCUAAUCCUGUUUACAGCUUCUUUAUGCCUCUACCUUUUCGUUGCUUUGCUCAAUGUUUUCUACAAGUAUUGCUGGAUACCUCAACGGGUACAGUUCAUCAUGAAUUCACAAGGAAUCAGAGGACCUCCUUAUGAAUUUAUCCAUGGAAACAACAAAGAAGCUGCCCAAAUGCUCAUGGAAGCAUCUACCAAACCUAUGGCCUUGACACACGAUAUAUUUCCCAGAGUCAUGCCUCAUGUUUACUCCUGGAUCAACAAAUACGGUGAGAAUAUGUUUUUUUUUCCUUUCUUGGGUAGUAUUUUCUGAUUAACCUCCACUUUCCAUGAAGAGAAAUCAUUUUCUUUCAGGGAAGACUUAUCUUAGUUGGAAUGGAAUUCGAGCUCAACUGCUAAUUACAGACCCAGAUCUAGUCAAAGAGGUCCUUAAAAACAGUGACAAAGCUUUUCGAAAGCCAAAGGCUUCAUAUUUCUUCGACAAGCUACUAGGCGAUGGGCUUGCUUCAACCGAACGUGAGAAAUGGGCAAGGCAAAGGAAACUGGCCAAUUAUGCCUUUCAUGGGGAGAGCUUAAAAGUAAAUCAUCUCUACCUUCUAAUCUAAUUAUUGUAGUGCGACAUUUACAAACUUGAUAAUUUCUUGCAGAAUAUGACUCCAGCAGUAGUUGCUAGCGUUGAAACCAUGCUUGAGAAAUGGAAAAGUAAGGAGGGCAAAGAGAUAGAAGUGUUCCAAGAGUUCAGAUUAUUGACUUCAGAAGUGAUAUCCAGAACCGCCUUUGGUAGCAGUUACUUGGAAGGGGAGAAGAUUUUUGACAUGCUGAUGAAGUUGUCAGUAAUUGCAGGCAGAAAUAUUUUUAAAGCAAAGAUUCCCAUCAUCAGGUAACUUCAUCAAAUCUUUACUUUGUUAAUCAACAUACUUCAGCUUACAAUGGGUUGAUUUAAUCUGGUUGUCCUUUUCAGCAAGUUUUGGAAACCUGCUGAUGAAAUUGAAUCAGAAAGAAUUGCCAAAAUGAUACAUGAUUCUGUGAUGAGGAUUGUUAAAAAAAGGGAAGAGAGAGUAGUGAACGGAGAAGCUGAUAACUUUGGUCGUGAUUUUCUGGGAUUACUUGUAAAUGCUUAUCAUGAGGCGGACCAGAAAAACAAGCUUUCGAUUCAAGAUAUGGUAGAUGAGUGUAAAACUUUUUAUUUUGCUGGGCAAGAAACAGUCAAUUCCUUGCUUGCAUGGGCAACUCUGCUUUUAGCAAUACACACCGAUUGGCAAGACAAAGCAAGAGCAGAGGUGAUUGAGGUCUUUGGUAAUCAAAACCCAGAUUCUGAAGGGAUGGCUAAAUUAAAGACGGUAAGCAAACUAUACAAAUUCAAUAGCUUGAAAACUAGCACUGACCAUUUAUAUUGCCUUUUGGAUUUUUUUUUUCUCCAACAGAUUACCAUGAUUAUCAAUGAAACUUUACGGCUCUAUCCUCCUAUAAGUGGCGUGACAAGAGAAGUAGGAAGAGAAGUCCAAUUAGGAAAACUUGUCCUGCCUACUCAUUCAGAGGUCGACAUGCGAAUCAUAGCACUUCACCAUGACCCUGACUUAUGGGGAGAUGAUGUUAAUCUUUUCAAACCAGAGAGGUUUGCUGAUGGGAUAGCGAAAGCUACUAAGUACAAUGCAGCUGCAUUUAUGCCUUUUGGAUUGGGAUCUCGAUCUUGCGUUGGCAUGAGCUUUGCAAUCACCGAAGCGAAAACUGCACUUUCCAUGAUUCUGCAACGCUACACUGUCACCGUCUCCCCUACCUAUGUUCACGCUCCUGUACCACGUCUUACACUCAAGCCACAACAUGGGAUGCAGUUGUUGUUUCAUUCACUACAUUAUGAUGCUUAAAAUUCUAGGUUGUUGGUCUCCAAUAUAGUAAUAUAUGAUAAAAUGUGGAUGAUACUGUAUUUUGCAACCAUACAAUGAUAAAUGGUUUGGGGAUUUCAUGUUUUGGCAACAAGAUUAUAUGCUUUUUUUUGUUGUUGAUAUUGUUAAAGGUUAAAUGGGUAUUACAGCAAACAUCGCCACCGCAGGAGCAGGCCCUACAGUCCUGUGGAUAACAUAAUUAGGUGUCUUUCUUCCAUUACUACUGCAGUAGUGAAGUUUUUAUUCCACUUGGUUCCCUUCUUCCAGAGUUUCUGCUUGAAACACUCACUCCUGGAGCCGGCCAUUACAUUGCUUGUUUAGCUUUCAUGGAAGGCUCCAAGCUCAUUAGACCAGAAACAUUGUUCCUUUGCCUAUGUAUCUUUUUGACAUAUUCUCUUAAGGAAGAGCUACUUAUAUCAAGGCUCCAUCUUUCUGAGUUGCAGGGCAAAAGUGUUGGAACAAUGGCAGCAUGUAUUAAUCCAAAUAGCAAGCAGAACCAAAUGAGAUCGAAGCAAAAGAAAACAAAGCACAAAAGCAAUGAACAAGACUUGAAUACUCAGCAAAAAAUGUAACCGAACAUCAAUUUCAUUCAAAUUUCAAAAUGUAAUUAAGUUACAAUUGAUAAAAUGACAAUUACCUAAUUGUUUAACUGCCCCAACUAAUACAUUUCUAAUACUAACUUAGAACAACAAAAGAGAUAAGCUGACAUACCAGCUUUUACAUCAAAAUCAAAUCACUAACUUAAUCUUACCAACUUGUAAGCAAGUUAGCAUUGAACUAAACAAAAAAUACAUAACAACUAAGUGACCAAAUCUGAUUGCUUCAUUCGGUCCAGUUUCAUCCUUGCGCACCAAGCAAAGCUGCUGAGCUCGAUGGCCAACCAUGCUGCUGGUUUCAUGUUGCAAUGCAGUCCAGCCUUCAACACUCCUCCUUGGACUGUAUGCAACACAUGCCAAUUGCACUUCUCAAUGUCUCAAAUCGAGCAGCUCCUAAGGGCUUAGUUAGCAUGUCAGCCAAUUGUGCCCCUGAGCUACAAUGAACAAGGCUGACUUCCCUUGUUUGCUCAGCCUCUCGAACAAAGUGCAUGUAAUACCCCAAAAAUUUUUACAGUAAUAUAUUAUCUUUGAUAUAAUAAAUAAGAAUAUAAAGUGAAAAAAAAGGGGGAAAUUUUGGAGCUAUGUCAACAUUGGGAAUUAUAUUAUGACAUAUUAGUUUAAGAAAGGAUUAAAUCACAAAAGUGAGAAAAGUUUUGUUGCCCAAGAGUAAAUACUCAAAAUUUGAGGGGUUAAAGUGUAAAUAUGAAAAAGUUAAAGGACCAAUGGUGUGAAUAUUUUAAAAGUGGAAUGAUCUAGAAACUAAGUAAAAUGGAUGGAUUAGGACAAAUUGAAAAAGGUGAAGAAUUUUGAGGGACUAAAUUGCAAUUUUACUAAAUUAAAUGAUGACUCAAGGAUGGAAUUUUAAAAGAUUAUAAAGGGCAAAAUGGUCAAUUAGAGAGAGAGAAUUCUAGAAGUUAAUAAUGAUGUUGGUGAUGUUUUUAAUUAAUUAAUUAGAUAAAUGUUAUUUAAUUAAUAUUUUAUUAAGAUUUUUAGUAUUAUUUUAUUAUUAAAUGAUUAAUAUAGAAGGGAGGAAAGAUGAAGAGAAUUCAUCAUCUUUCCCAUGCACCAACGUGAGAAGAAGAAGAAAGAAAGAAAGUUUUCUUUUCUUUACAAUUUGGUCCUUUUUACCAAAAAUCCACCAUUUUCACUUAGAAUUCAAAGAAAUUUUCCAUAACCACCAAGAGAAAAUUGAUAAGGAGACUAUGGGGAGCUAGAAUAUCAAGUUAGAUUCAAGAAAUAGAGGCUGGAGGAGAGAGAAAAUCAAGCUAAAGAUUGAAAUUAAUAGAGCAAUGUAAGAACAUCAAGAUUUCAAUAUAUUUUUGAGUUUGAUAUUAUUGAAAAAGUAUGAAAUUGAUGUUAAUGUAGGAUUUCAUUAUAUAAGGUUCUAUGUUCUUUAUAUGUUAAUGAAGAAAAAAUAAGAGAAAGUGAUGGGAAAUACUAUAGAGAAAGGGAAUAAGGGUGUUAUAAAUUUAGUAAUCAACAUUUUGCACUAAAACAGUUUUGGACAGCAGCAGUAGGUUAACUUUGAAAAAUCACCAUAAAUCAUGGAAAUCGAAUUAGAGGAUGAGAAAAAUAUGGAAUUAAAUAUUAUUGAGUCUAGUUUCCCAUAUAAGAAAUGGUGUAAGUAAUGUAAUUGUAAAUCAUGAGAUAUAAUGAAUUUUGUGAGACAAGAUCAGAAUAAAUUCGGGUUCCCCUGUUCUGACUUUGGAAAAUCAUCAAAAAUUGCAUAAAAAUAAUUAGGGGUUAAAAUUUAAAUUAUUAAAAUCCUUAAUGAGUAUAUUUUUAAUAUAAAGAAAUGGUAACAUCAUCUGAAACCUAUACGAUGAGAUAAUUAAUUUUUAGUGAACAAGGGUCGAAACUGUCAGAUAGCAGAAUAGGGAUGAAUUUAAAGAAUAAACUGUACUUAUUGGCUAAACUAAAAAUUAUGAAAAUUUUAUGUUAAGAAGAUAUGUGAGUCUAGUUUUGGGAAAAAUUAUCAGAUCUUAAUUUGGAGUUUCGUAGCUAAAGAUAUGAAUAAUUUAGUGAUUAUUACUCAAUUGGGCAGCUUUGAAUGAAAAUAUAAAUAAAUGGUGAAAUUAUAGAUAAUGUUACAAAUAAGCAUGUUAUAUACAUUAAGGAUGUGGAAUGGAGAGGAGGAGGAGGAAAAUAUAUGAUUAUUCAACUAGCAUGAGUUUUCAUUAAAAAUGGCCAAUUUACCUGUUUUAGAUUCAGGGACUAAAUUGAACAAAUGUGAAACUUUAAGGGUAAAUUUGUAAAAAGUCAAAAAGUGACCAAAUUGCAUGAAAUGAAUUGUUUUAUUAUUUAAAUUAGUAAAUUGAAUAAAACAUUAAUUUAGAUAAAGAUUGAGUGGAAAUUCGAGAAAAAUAGAAAUUUUCCAAAAUGUCCCUGAAUUUUGCUAUUUCUGCAAUUUAGCCUGGUAAGUUCGUAUGAACUAUAUUUUGUACAAUUUUAAUAGAAGUGAAUGCUAUUUGGUAAUGAAUAUUAUAUAUAUGUGUGUUUUAUUAUUGGAAUUGAAUUAUUAUUGGUAAUAGGUAUAAUUAUUAUUUGUUUUGAAAUGAUUAUCGGAAGCUUGAUUAGGUUGGAAGCUUGUUGGAGAUACAUCACAUUAUCCAUUGGUUCUAUUGGUAAUUUUGGAUGAUUUGAUUCUUGUUAUAAUGACUUGUAUAAGCUAAAUUGGUUAAUGAUAACUCAUAAAUGUUUUGAUUUUGAUUGGUUAUAAAUAUGAAUGCUUGAUGAAAUGUAAUGUCUAAAAAUUUAUUUAUAAACUCCGGUAAUGCUCUAUAACCCUAUUCUGGAGAAGGAUACGGGUUAGGGGUGUUACAGUGCAACUUAAUUUUAAAGUGCUUAGUUUUACCAUGGAACACAGGGUUCUUGGCUAUAGCAACUGCUGACUGGUUGUCCACCCAAAUUUCAGUUGCUUCAGCUUGUGUUUCAUUAAGGUCUUGAAGUAAUUUCCUGAGCCAAAUGGCCUGAUUGACUGCUGCUGCUGCUGAGAUAUACUCUGCUUCAGCUGUGGAUUGAGCAACAGUCUGUUGCUUCUUUGAACUCCAGCAAAACAUACCCGAUCCAAGUGUGAAGAAGUAUCCAGAGGUACUCUCCAUGUCAUCAAGGGAUCCUGCCCAGUCACUGUCUGAAAAACCUUCAAGUUUCAACUUCUUUCCACUUUCAAACAUUACACCAAAGUUAGUAGUGCCUUUGAUGUAUCUAAGAACCCUUUUUGCUGCCUUCAAAUGAGCUUCAUUGCAGCAGUGCAUGAACCUCGAUAGCAAACUGACACCAAACAUGAUGUCUGGCCUAGUUACAGUUAGAUACAGCAGGCAACCUACUAGGCUUUGAUAGUGCCUCUCAUCAACCCUUUGCUGAUCACCAUUGCUGGUCAAUUUUUCACCCUGAGCCACUGGUGUGCUGACUAUUUUACAGUUUUGCAUGCAAAAUUUGCCAAGAACCUUCAAAGCAAAUGUGUGUUGGCUAAUGAAAAUGCCUCGAUCUGACUGGUGAACUUCCAUGCCAAGGAAGUAUGUCAUGAUCCAAAAAUCAAUCAUUUCGAAUACUUGCUGCAUUUGAACCUUGAACUCAUCAAUGAGCUCAACUUUGCUCCCUAUUACUAGCAAAUCAUCCACAUACAAGGAGACAAUCAGCAAGGUUUCUUGUUCUGACUUCUUAACAUAAAGAGUAGGUUCACUAGGACUUUUCACAAAUCCAAGCUUGAUCAGGUAACUAUCCACUCUGUCAUACCAGGCCCUUGGUGCCUGUUUCAAGCCAUAAAGGGCCUUUCUCAGCUUGUACACUUUGUCUUCAUGUCCAGCAACUUCAAAGCCUUCUGAUUGCUGGAUGAAGAUCUCUUCCUUGAGAAAGCCAUUCAAGAAUGCUGAUUUUACAUCCAAUUGGUGAACCCUCCACUACUACUGAGCUGCUAAAGCAAACAGGAGCUUGAUUGUGUCCAGUCUUGCUACUGGAGCAAAUGUCUCCAAGAAGUCCACACCAUAUUGCUGACUGUAGCCCUUCACCACAAGUUUGGCCUUAUACUUGUUUAAAGAGCCAUCAGCAUUGUAUUUGGCCCUGUACACCCAUUUAACCCCUAUGAACUUCUUGUGUUCUGGUCUGCUCACCAAUUCCCAUGUCUGAUUCUUGUUAAUCAUUUCUAACUCAAUCUCCAUGGCUUUCAGUCAGUUCUUGUCUCUGGCAGCUUCCUCAAAAUCUGUAGGCUCAAUCAUAGCAACACUACACCUCUGAUAAACAUCAAUCAAAGUUCUGGUGCCCCUAACUGGUGUAUCAUCAACAGCAUCAUCUUUUGGUCCCUCUUCUGUAGGUUCAACAACCAAGUCCAACUGGUCCAUUUCAGACAUGUCAGCUUCAGCACCAUUCCAAUUCCACACCUUUUCUUCAUCAAAUUUUACAUCCCUGCUGACUAAGACCUUCUUUGUUGUAGGAUCAUACACUCUAUAACCCUUCUUGUUGCUGCUAUAGCCAACAAAGAUUCCUGGAGUAGCCCUGCUCUCGAGCUUGGUUCUCUUUUCCACUGGAAUAAGAGCAUAACACACACAACCAAACACUUUCAAGUGUGUUACAACUGGUUUGACCCCAUCCCAAGCCUCAAAAGGGGUUUUAUCCUUGACUGCACGAGUUGGUAGCCUAUUGAGCAGGUAUACUGAGGUGUUGACUGCCUCAGCCCAAAACUGACUUGGAAGCUUGCUUUGAAACAAUAGGCACCUGGCCAUGUUCAGCACAGUCCUAUUUUUCCUUUCACAAACUCCAUUCUGUUGAGGAGUAUAGACUGUUGUAAGCUGAUGGUGAAUCCCAGCACUGUCACAAAGCUUUUGAAAUUUGUCACUCACAUAUUCUGAACCAUUGUCAAUCCUCAAGGAUCUAAUUUUGCAGCUUGACUGAUUUUUAGCAUAUGCCUUGAAUUUACAGAAGGCCUCAAAUACCUCUAACUUCAGUUUCAAGAAGUAGACCCAAUACAUCCUUGUUAGAUCAUCUAUAAACAGAACAAAAUACUUGUUCUCACUGUUUGAAGGUGGUCUUAUAGGACCAUGAACAUCAGAGUGCACCAAUUCUAGCUUAUUUUGAGCUCUCCAAGUACUGUCAGCAGAAAAAGGCAGUCUAGCCUGCUUACCAAGCUGACAAACCUCACAAACAGUCCCACUGACUUCAAUUUUUGAAAUGUCAUCAACCAAAUUCAGCCUAUGCAACAGAUCAAUGGAUCUGAAAUUGGCAUGGCCUAGUCUCAUAUGCCAUAAGUCUGUGCUAUCAACCAGACUGGUGUAUGCCUUUCUUUCUACUUGACUAACAUCCAGCAUAAAACAUCUAUCAGCCAUAGAGACUGUGACUAACUCCUGACCAUGCAUGUCUUGAACAAUACAGCAACCAUUUUUAAAGACCAAGGUAUAGCCUUUUUUAACUAAUUGGCCUACACUAAGCAGGUUCUGGUCUAAGUUAGGUACAAAAAACACAUCAGGGAUCAACUUGUUACCUGAACCAGUGCUAACCAGCACAUUGCCCUUGCCCUUGGCCUCAAUCAGCUUGCCAUCUCUAAUUUUGAUUCUUGAGUGGAAGCUUCUGUCUAGGCUCUUAAACAGCUUCUCAUCUGCUGCUAUAUGGUGUGAGCAGCCACUGUCUAGCAGCCAAUUGUUGCUGACCUUUGUUGUGCCAACAAAACAGGUUGCUGUGAACGCAUGCUCCUCCUGAGCUUGCAAGUCCUCAGCAGGUCGAGCUUGUUGCUGAGUGGUCUCCUUUGGUUUGCCCUUGCACACCUUCUCCACAUGACCAAACUGCUUGCACUUUCUGCAUCAAAUAUCUGGCCUAAACCAGCAGUACUUUUCUGAGUGUGUUGUCUUCUUGCAGUGAACACAUGGUGGGAACAUCCUUUUUGCUUCAUUUCUUCUUGAUUUGGCCCUUCUAUUGUGCCAAGGCUUUUUUCCUUUUGCACUUACACUUGAGCCUUCACUGGCUUUAGCCUGGAAAGCAACCUCAAUAUUCUCCUCCUGCCUAUUUGCCCUCCUUUUCUCAAGUGCAUACAGUGAGUUUAUCAACUCAGACAAUGAAAUGGUUGAUAAGUCCCUCGAGUCCUCAAGUGAAGAGAUUUUUUACUCAAAUUUCUUAGGAAGAGUUGUGAUGACCUUUUCAACAACUCUGCUCUCUGUGAAGUCCACUCCCAGGAGCCUUAUGCUGUUGACAAUGGCCAUUAUCCUAUCCGAGUACUGCUUGAUGGUCUCAGACUCCCUCAUUCUCAAAUUCUCAAAGUCUCUCCUGAGGUUGAUCACCUGCUGUUGCCUUGUUUUGUCAGUCCCCAUGAACUCCUCCUUCAGCUUCUCCCAAGCCUGCUUUGGUGAGUCACAGGCCAUGAUGUGAGUGAAUAUCACAUCAAACACUCCAUUUUGCAAACAGGCCAUAGCCUUGUGCUUCUUGGCUCGCUCAUCAACAUGCUGUCUCAUCUGUGCAAUAGUGGGAUUGGCUCUCAAUAGAGGUGGUUCAACAUCAUUCUCAAUCACACUCCAAAGAUCGUGUGCCUGGAGAUAAGUCUUCAUCUUGACUAUCCAAAAGUGAUAGUUUUCUCCAGCGAACACUGGUGGAGGUGGUGGAGUGAAACUCAUCCUGCUAGACUGAGUUCAAAGGCUUCGAUCUCUUCUAAAUUUGAACUAUGCUUUUGCUUUUGGUAUGAAAACAGCAGAAUGCAAAGGCCCCUCAAAGAUUUGGGCUCAUAAUACCAUUUGUUGGAACAAUGGCAGCAUGUAUUAAUCCAAAUAGCAAGCAGAACCAAAUGAGAUCGAAGCGAAAGAAAACAAAGCACAAAAGCAAUGAACAAGACUUGAAUACUCAGCAAAAAAUGUAACCGAACAUCAAUUUCAUUCAAAUUUCAAAAUGUAUUUAAGUUACAAUUGAUAAAAUGACAGUUACCUAAUUGUUUAACUGCCCCAACUAAUACAUUUCUAAUACUAACUUAGAACAACAAAAGAGAUAAGCUGACAUACCAACUUUUACAUCAAAAUCAAAUCACUAACUUAAUCUUACCAACUUGUAAGCAAGUUAGCAUUGAACUAAACAAAAAAUACAUAACAACUAGGUGACCAAAUCUGAUUGCUUCAUUCGGUCCAGUUUCAUCCUUGCGCACCAAGCAAAGCUGCUGAGCUCGAUGGCCAACCAUGCUGCUGGUUUCAUGUUGCAAUGCAGUCCAGCCUUCAACAAAAAGUCCGUUCUCCAUGAAAAACUACCCAUUUCCACUAAAGCACACUAGCUUUCGCCAUACCAUCCGCGAAAAAACCAGAAAUGAUACACCAGAAACUCCCUCAAGACAGACAGAGCCAAGCCACUUUCUCGCUAAUCCCCAUUGAACCCUCCAAUUAAGCAAAGCCAUUUCAUAUUUCAACCCAAUGGCCACCACAAUUGUCGUACUAAAUUUACAAAUUAAAAUGCAAAAAGUAAUAAAAAAAAUACACAGCCCAAGCUCCAAAAUGCAAGAAAGUCCAUUUAAAAUAUGAGCCAAAUUCAAAUUCCAGUUUAAAAAUUUGAAUUUAAUUCGUUUUUAAUUUUGUAAUUUAGUAUAUUCACUACAAGAAAAAUAUGAAUUGUCAACAUUAAAAUUUAUUGCUAAAUGUUGUAUUACCAUUACUAAGAUUUUAUUGUAACAGCAAAAAAAUCGUUGCGAAGUCGUUGUGUAUACCUCCAUUGUAUAAAAUAUGCACAACGAUUUUACAAAUUGAAAAGUCGUUUUAAUUAUAUAUAUCGCAACGACUUUUUUCGUUUUAAAAUAUAUAUUUUUUGUAAUGACUUAAUUUAUUUGUCUAAAAAUGUUUUAGUUAUAAUAAAAUUUGUUAUAAUAUUUUUAACACAACCAUAAUACUUUAGUUACAAAAACUAUUACCUAACAAUAAUAUAUUGGUUGUAAUAUAAAAUUUGCAACAACUGUACAUUAAAAUGCUAAGUUUUGUAAGUAACAAUAAUAAUACUGAUAUGUCAUUGUAUUACAUUACUCAAUGAUUAUAUGUCAUUGCCAAAAAAAUAUUUUAAUAACCAUAAAAUGUGGUUGCCAAAUCAUUUACUUAAGAACAAUACUACUGAUUACUAAAUAUUAUUCUACAACUAUUUUAAUUUGUUGUGUACUACAUUGAGCAAAAACAAUAUUAUUUUUAAUCAAAUGGCUAUAUAUAAUUUAAUAAAAUUUAAAAAAUAAUCUUAAUAAAAUUUUAAAAAAAGUUUAUUCAUCCUCUAACUUAAUAAAAUUUAAAAAAAAAAUUCAUAUUAGAUUGAAUUGACAUUGAGGUUAUAUAUAGUCAUUGGUCAUGUCAAAGAGAAUAGCUCUACCAAAAUAAAAAAUUUAUUUUUUAUUAAAAAAAUUUAAAAAAAUUAAUUGCAGCAUAUUAACCGUCAUUCUCUAUGACUCUAUCAAAUAAAAUAAUAAUUUUAAUUUCAAAUUAAAUAUACAAAUCACUUUAAAAAAUUGACAUAAUAAAAGUGGUGUGACCAAUUUAUUUUGCUCCCGAAAUAUUAUUAUUUAUUUUCCAGUUCCCAAAAUAUUUAAAAAUAUUGGUGUUAGAGUGGUAUUUAUACGGGUGAAGCCAAAUAAAUUAACUUUACCUACAAAAAUUAAUUUUUGUUAUAAAAUAAAGAGAGAUGGAGAGAAUGAAGAACAAAGAAAAUAUGAAAGCAAUAGAGAAUGUACUUUAUUAAUCAAAGGGAUGAUUACAAUGCUUCAUGGGAGUUUCUAUUUAUAGGCAUAAGAAGUAUAAAAGAAGUAGAGAUCUAAUUCUAAUAACUAUUAGAAUUUAAAGUACAUCAAAGCUUUAUCUUGAUCAUGAUGGACAUCCACUAAAUAAGAUAUUUAUAACACUCCCCCUUGGAUGUCCAUUAGUGGAUAAUGUGCCUCGUUAAAACCUUAUUAGAAAAAAUCCUAUGGGAUAAAAACCUAAUGAAGGAAAAAGAGUACACAAUAUUCUAUUACAAGUUGUCUCAUUAAAAACCUUUACCGGGAAAACCCAAUGGGACAAUACCUUGGUUAAAGGAAAAGAGUACAACUUAUUUUAGACUCCCCCUAAUGGCAACAUUACAUUACAUCUUUGAGUUGACGCAUUCCAAUCUUGCGUAGUAGUCUUUCAAAUGUUGAAGUUGGCAAUGCCUUAGUAAAAAUAUAUGCUAAAUUAUCACUAGAACGAAUUUGUUGAACAUUUAUAUCACCUCUUUUCUCAAGAUCAUGGGUGAAGAAUAAUUUUGGCGAAAUAUGUUUCGUUCUAUCACCUUUGAUGUAACCACUCUUCAAUUGAGCUAUACAUGUUGCAUUAUCCUCAUAUAAGAUAGUUGGCAUCUUUUCCUAUAAAGGCAAAUUACAUAUCUUCUGGAUAUGUUGGGUCAAUAACCUUAGUCAAACACACUCUCGACUUGCCUCAUUCAUUGCAAUUAUUUCUACAUGAUUUGAAGAAGCAACAGCUAAUGUUUGCUUUGUCGAACGUCAUGAUAUGGUAGUACCCCCCCUCACAUGUAAAUAAAUUGUAAUACCCCAAAAAUUUCUACAAUAAGGAAAGUAAGAUAAUAUCUCUGAUAUAGUAAAAUAAGGAAAUAAAGUGAUAAUAAGGGUAAUUUUGAGUUAUGUCAACAUUGGGAAGUAUAUUAUGACAUAUUAAUUCAAGAAAGGAUUAAAUUGCAAAAGUGAGAAAAGUUUUGUUGCCCAAGAGUAAAUACUCAAAAUAUGAUGGGUUAAAGUGUAAAUAUGAAAAGUUAAAGGACCAAAAGUAUAAAUAUUUUAAGGGUGGAAUAAUCUAGAAACUAAGGAAAAUGGAUGAAUUAGGACCAAAUUAAAUAGGUGAAGAAUUAUGAGGGAUUAAAUUGUAAUUUUAUCAAAUUCAGUGAUGACUCAAGGAUGGAAAAAGAUCAUAAAGGGCAAAAUGGUCAUUUCGAAGAGAGAGAAAUAUAGAAGAUAAUGACGAUGUUGGAGAUAUUUUAGAUUAAAUAAAUAAAUAAAUAUUAGUUUAUUAAUAUUUUAAUUUGAUUUUUAAAUGAUAUUUUAUUAUUUUAUUAUUUAGUAUAUAUAUGUGGAAAGAAAGAUGAAAAGCCACCAUCCCACCAUUUUUCCAUGCAUCAACGUGAGAAGAAGAGAGAAAGAAAGAAAGUUUUGCUUUCUUUACAAUUUGGUCCUUCUACCAGAAAUUUAUCAUUUUCACCUUGAAAUCAAAAGAAUUUCCUUAGCUAUCAAGAGAGAAAAAUAACAAGAAGACUAUGGGGAGCUAGAAUAUCAAGUUAGAUUUAAGUAAUAGAAGCUGGAGGAGAGAGAAAAUAAAGUUAAAGGUUGAAACCAAUAGGACAAGGUAAGAACAUCAAGAUUAAUUGAACAUAUUUUUAAGUGUGAUAUUAUUGAAAAAGCAUGGAAAUGAUGUUAUAGUAGAGUUUUCUUAUAUAAGGUCUUAUUUUUUUUAUAUAUUAGUGAAGGAAAAUAAGAGAAAGUGAUGGGAAAUAUUAUAGAGAAAGGGAAUAAGAGUGUUAUAAACUUAGUAAUCAAUAUUUUGCACUAAAAUAGUUUUGGACAGCAGCAGUAGGUUAAUUUUGAAAAAUCACCAUAAAUUGUGAAAAUCGAAUUAGAGGAUGAAUAAAACAUGAAAUUAAAUCUUGUUGAGUCUAGUUUCUCAUAGAAGAAACUUUGUAAGUAAUGGACUUUUAAAUCAUGAGAUAUAAUAAAUUUUGUGAGACAAGGUCAGAAUGAAUUUGGGUUCCCCUGUUCUGACUUUGGAAAAUCAUAAAAAAAUUGAAGAAAAAUAAUUAGGGGUUUAAAUUUAUAGGUUUAAAAUUUUUAAUGAGUCUAUUUUCAAGAGAAAUAAACAGGAACAUCAUCUAAAUCCCGUACGAUGAGAUAAUUAAUUUUUAGUGAAGAAUGGUCGAAACUGUCAGACAGCAGAACAGGAGUGACUUUAAAGAAUAAACUAUACUUAUUGGCUGAACUAAAAAUUCCGAAAAUUUUAUGGUAAUAAGAUAAGUGAGUCUAGUUUCAGAGAAAAUUAGCAGAUCCUAAUUUGGAGUACUGUAGCUCAAGAUAAAAAUGAUUUAAUGACUAUGACAUGGAUGGACAGCUUUGAAUAAAUUUAUAAGUAAAUAGUGAAAUCAUAGAUAAUGUUACUUAUAAGCAUGUUAUAUAAAUUAAGGAUGUGGAAUGGAGAGGAGGGGGAGGAAAAUAAAUAUAUAAAUAUUCUGUUAGCAAGGAUUUGCAUUAAAAAUGGUUAAUUUGCAUGAUUUGGGCUCAAGGACUAAAUUGAAUAAAAAGUAAAACUUUAGGGGCAAUUUUGUAAAAAUGUCAAAAAAGAUCAAAUUGCAUGAAAUGAGUUGUUUUAUUAUUUAAAUUAAUUAAUUGAAUGAAAUAUUAAUUUAGAUCAAGAUCGGGUAGAUAAUCGAGGGAAAUGGAAAAUUACCAAAAUGCCCCUGGUAAGUUCAUAUGAACUAUAUUCUGUACAAUUUUGAUUAAAGUGAAUGUUAUUUGGUGAUGAAUAAUAUAUAUGUAUAUGUGUUAGUAUUGAACUGAAUUUAGUAAAUUGAAUUGAAUAAGAAAUAUGUGUUUAGUAAAAUAAAAAUUUAUGAUUGGGUAUUGAAAUUGAGACUGAUACUGAACUGAAUUAUGGAAUACUGAAUAUUAUUUUGUGUACUGCAUUGAACUGUGAAAUUACUGAAGUAAUGAAUUACUACAUUACUGUGAAACUGAUCGAAAUAAGGAAUUAUAAUUGAUACUGAACUAAGAUGGAAAUUGUACUGAAAGGUGAAUUAAAUACCCUAUUAACUAGUUGGGCUAGUCGGAUAUAGUUGGCAUGCCAUAGGAUAUGGAAGAGUACGGGUUUUUGCCGGCUUACUGAUCAGGCAUUUAUAUGCCGACUACUGUUACUAUUAUCGAUUUGGCACUUUGUGUGUCGAAUAUUGUUACUGUUACUGUUACCGAUUCGGCACUUUGUGUGUCAAAUACUGUUACCAUUACUGUUACCAAUUCGGCACUUUGUGUGUCAAAUACUGUUACCAUUACUGUUACAGAUUCAGCACUUUGUGUGUUGAAUACUGUUACUGUUACUACUACUGUUACUGAUUACUAAUCAGGUACUAUGUACCGUUUUAGGCACAGUGUGUCGUACUAGUGUGUUUGGUUGGAUCCAUGUAUCCGCCAAAGCUCGAGUCUGUUAAUAGGGGUAAUUAAAUGAAAAGUUAAAUCAAACAAAAUGAAACAGUUGAGCUAUUGAAAGGAAACAUGGUUGUAGAAUAUAAUUUGAAAAUGUGAACUGAAUAUGAAAAUGUGAAUAGAAAGCAUGAACUAAUUGUUCAUGAGAUAAAUAAAUGCUCAAUGUAAUAGUAUAUGAUGUUAACAAAUGAAAGCCAAAUUCAAUUAUAAAUAUUGAGAAAUGAAUUAUUAUUGGAAAUAUAUUAUUGAAUUUAAUACUUAAUUUGGUUUGAACGUGAGAUUGAGUACAAUCGUUUUAUGGCAGAGGAUGAAUUGACGGAUAAGACCAUAAUUGGGUUAUGGCACUAUGAACGUAAGACCAUGGUCGAACCAUGGCAGUGUUUAUAUGUGCAAGACCAUAGUUGGACUAUGGCACCAAAGAAUGAUGUACUCAUAUCCGUAAGUCGUCCUUCGAUACAGAAAGAAACGAUAAAAGAUUUAUGUGGUUGAAUUGAAAGGUUUAUAGAUUAUUAUUGGUAUUGAUCUGAAAUAAAUGUAACCAUUGAUAUUUAAAUGAUAUAACGGGUAAAGUUCUGAAGUGAGAUAACAUGAGUUUGAAAUGAACUAUCAUGUGAUCAAUUCGGAAAAAUGCUUUAGUUAAAUGCACUAGCUUGUGACUAUGAUUGAAUGAUAUGCUUAUGACUUGUGUGUCACGCAUAUGGAAUAAAUGUGGAAAGUAAAGAAAUGCAAAUGAAAAUAAAGAAAUUAUGAAGAGUUAAAGUUAUAUAAAGUCCUACUAAGCUUGGGAUAAUAUGUAAUUGAUACUAUGAAUUUAUUCACCUUGUGAGUUGAUGAAUAUAGCUUCAUGAGUACUAUGGUAUUCAUAUUGGAUAUGUAUAGAUUUUAUAUUUUAAAUGAACUAAUAUGACUAAAGACUACACAAGCUUCCUAAGCAUUCAUUGCUUACGUAUUUUUUUAUUUUUUUAUUUACCCUACAGAUUAUCGGAAGCUCGAUUGGGUUGGAAGCUGGUCAGAGAUAUAUCACACUAUCCAUUGGUUCUAUCAGUAAUUUUGGAUGAUUUGAUUCUGGUUAUAAUGGCAUGUAUAAGUUAAUUUUAGCCAACGUUGGCUCAUUAAUGUUUUAAUUUUGAUUGGUUUCAAAUAUGAAUGCUAGAUGAAAUGAAACGUCUGAAAAUCAAUCUGUAAAUUUUUGUAAUGCUCUGUAACCCUGUUCUGGCGACAUAUUCGGGUUAGGGGUGUUACAUAAAUAUCCUGUUUGAGAUCGACCUUUAUGUGGGUCUAGUAAGUAUCCAACAUCAGCAUAGCCAACUAAUAGGGAUUUUGAAUCAUCUGAAUAAAAUAACCCCAUAUCAAUGGUCCCUUUGAAAUACCUAAAUACAUGUUUAAUUCCAUUCCAAUGCCUACAUGUUGGAGAAGAACUAAAUCUUACUAACAAGUUUACAGUGAAAGCUAUAUCAGGUCUUAUGUUGUUUGUAAGAUACAUCAAUGCCCCUAUGGCACUUAGAUAUUGUACUUCAGGACCAAGAAACUCUUCAUCAUUCUCGCAAGGAUGAAAUUGAUCUUUAUUCACAUCUAACGAUCGUACAACCAUCGGAGUACUUAAUGGGUGUGUUUUAUCCAUGUAAAAUUUCUUUAAUAUCUUUUUCAUAUAAGUUGAUUAAUGAACAUGAAUUUUAUCUUUUAAAUGCUUGAUUUGUAAUCCAAGAUAAAACUUUGUUUUUCCAAAAUUUUUCAUCUCAAAUUAUUUCUUUAAACAAUUUAUUGUAUUUUGAAGCUCUUCAGGAGUUUCCAAUAAUAUUUAGAUAAUCAACAUAAACAACAAUUAUUACAAAAUAUGAUCCAAACCUUUUUAGAAAGACACAUGGACAAAUUGGAUCGUUUUUGUAACCUUCCUUUAACAAGUCUUCACUAAUACGAUUGUACCACAUACGUCCAGAUUGUUUUUAUCCAUAUAAACUUUUCUUUAAUUUGAUUGAGUAAUUUUCUCAAGAAACUCUAUAUCGUUUUGGGAUUUUAAAUCCUUUAAGGAUUUUCAUAUAAAUUUCACUAUCAAGUGUACCAUAUAAAUAAGAUGUAACAACAUCCAUUAAAUGCAUGUCAAGUUUUUCUUGUACUGCCAAACUAAUAAGAUGUCUCUUCAUAAUCAAUGUCGGGCCUUUGCGAAAAUCCUUGUGCUACAAGGCGAGCUUUAUAUCUUAUGACUUCAUCAAUUUCAUUUCGUUUUCGCACAAAUACUCAUUUAUAUCCUACCGACUUUACACCUUUAGGUGUUUUAGACUACAGGUCCAAAAACUUCACGUUUAGAAAGUGAAUUCAAUUAUGCUUGAAUUGCAUCUUUCCAUUUUGACCAAUCUUUUCUAUUUUUACAUUCCUUAGUAGAUUUAAGCUCAGGAUCCUCAUUUUCUUUUGUUAUUUCAAUAGCAACAUUAUAAGCAAAAUUGUUGUCGAUAACUACAUUUUUUUCAGUUCCAUCUUUUUCUCGUAUUGACAUAACUUAUCGAUAUCUCUUUAUUUUCAUCAUUUCUAUUUUCACUUUUAGGUACCUGAAUCUCUUUUUGAGUUUUAUAAUUAGUUAUGUCACGGGUCUCUUCAGGAACUCCCGUCUCCACUAUGUGACCAUCUUGAAUGUUUACUCCUUUUCUUUUAUGAGGAUUUUUAUCUUUGAAACCGACCGGUCUUUCACGCUUCAAGCAUGGACUACUUUCUUUUGCAUUAACAGUUUGCCCUAUUAGGACAUCAAUUCGUAUUGGAGCAUUUUCAGCUGGUAUGUGAAAUUUAAUGAAUUUUGCAGUUGAUUUGUAAAAUGAAUUAUCUGUUGAACUUCUGGUUCACGUUGCUUUGUACGAGGAUCUUAGAUAUUGAUAAUUCAUUCACAUACCAAAACAGGCUUUUAGCGGCGUUUUUUUUUUUUUUUGCCUUCAGAAGCGCCGCUAAAAGUAUUUGCGGCGUUUUCAGUAGCGCCGCAAAAAAAUGCCGCUAUUGACAACGCCGCUAACUUUUGCGGCGUUUUUAGAAAUAAACGCUGCUAUAGAACAAGACCUUUAGCAGCGCUUUUCACACAAACGCCGCUAUAGAACAAGACCUUUAGCGGCAUUUUUCACACAAACGCCGCUAUAGAACAAGACCUUUAGCGGCGCUUUUCCCACAAACGUCGCUAAAGAUCAUGACAUUUAGCGUCACUUUUCCCACAAACGCCGCUAUAGAACAAGACCUUUAGCGGCGCUUUUCCCACAAACGUCGCUAAAGAUCAUGACAUUUAGCAUCACUUUUCCCACAAACGCCGCUAUAGAACAAGACCUUUAGUGGCGCUUUUCCCACAAACGCUGCUAAACGCCGCUAAAUGUCAUGACCUUUAAAAAAUAUUUUAAUUAAAUAAUAUUUAUUUCUAUGAUAAAUAUUAUAUUAUGUUUUAUUUUUGAAAUUUAAACUUUAAACUAUAUACGUUUAAGGAUAAAAAAUAUUAAUUAAAUUAAAUUUUCUAUUAAAAUUUUAAAUUUAAAACUAAAUAUAAAAAUUAAUGAAUUUAAAUUUAGAAUUUAAAUAUUAUGUUUAAAUAAAUAAGCAAUCUAGCUCACAACUCAUCUGAUCUAUAUUAACUCGGCCAAUUAUAAAAGAAGCUACAAAACACGUAAUAAUUAAUAAUCAUGGUUAAAGAAGCUAGUACACAAGAUAGCUACAAAACACUAUUUCAAUAACACCAAAUUCAAGUUCUAACUAGGAUAAACGACCAUGGAAUGCAACAUUAAAUAACAUUCCACUUGAAGAAGUGCUAAGCCUUGGCUUUUCCAGCUUGAAGAGAUUGAAUCCUCUGCUACACCUUCAAUAUCUAAAGGAUGCAAAACCAAAUGAUCACAUAAACUAACAAACUUGGUAAACAACAGAGAUGUUAAAAAUAAAAAAUAUAUAUAGCCAUUAAGGCUCAAAAAAAUAUAUAUAACAAACAAUUAUGUGCAGCUUUAGUAGCAAGUUGAACCAUACUAACAAACAACCUCAAUCAUAGCUCUUCCAUGUGUCACAAAUAGGCAUUAUUUCUAAUGAUUGUCUAAACUAGUCAAUUGUUACUAGUACUUACCUAUUCAGCCAUGCAUUUUGGCUUGAGGAUAGGCCUUUUGUUUGCUUUAACUUAUACACUAUGAAUUCUUUCUAAUACAGGAAAUGACCAAAACCAAAACAAAUGAGAUAAAGUACUAGUAACAAUAAGGCAACUAUAAAAAACGGCAAUAAAACAAAAAGUAGAUGAUAUUUAGUAAACUUAAUUAUAAUAAAAAUUUUCAAUAUGAUCCAUUUAUCAAACCCCAAAAAUGUAAUAAACAUAUCACAGUUAGUAUAUGCAUUCCAUUUAUAAUUUUGUAAGCAAGUGAUCAAUCUAUUGGUUCUCUUAGAUGGAAUUGAAUGUAAUUUGACCAAUUUUAUUGUUGUUUAGGUUUAAUUGGAAAUUGAUUUUUUUUAAUUCACGAAAAGUGGUAUACAAUCAGACUAUUGAAUUAAAAUUAAUAACCUAAAUAAGAUAAUUAUAUAAAAUUAGAUAAUAGUUAAGCUUUAUCAAUUAUUAUUUGAAACCGACUUUAAAGAAAGGGAUAAAGUAACAUUCAAUCCAAGCUUAACGACUAAAUUGAAAAUUUUUGUUAAGUUUCAAAAUUAAUGUAGAAUAAAAAAAUUUGAAGAACUAAAUUAAAAAAAAUUGACAAAUUUAAAGACUAAAUGUUAUUUUAUCUAUAGAUGAAUUGAAAAAUUGAAAUGCCAACUAAGCUUCUUAUAUAGCAGCUCUGUCAACGUUAUGAACUCCAGCAGAAUCAAUCAAACAUAAUUGACAAUAUAUAUAUAUAUAUAAUUUUAUACAUAAAACCUUGUUUGCUCUAAAGAAAUUUGGAUUUCAUAAUAUAUUUAAAUUAUUCUUUAAAUUAUUUAAAAGAAAUGUCUGCAUGGAUAGAGUCAAGUACCUUCUAGGAGUUCAGGCUGUUCGAAUGGGGUACAAAGAGACUUAGCUGCUCCCAUCUCACCCUUUGUUCGAGCUUUCACAUCUUUCUCCACCUCCUAUAUAUACAAAACAUAAAACAUCAUUUAAGAAAAAUGAGCUACAUAUGCCUGGAGAGAUUAGAAUAUGAUCCAGCUCAUGUUGUUGCCUAACAAAAUACUUGAGAUUAAUGAUGAUUAAUGAUGCAGUUCUGAGAAAAAAGGGUAACAAAUAAGCAUUAAAACAAUACCAAUUAAAUGCUAAAUUGUCAUGAUCCCUAUAAAUAAUAAGGAUUCUACAAAUUAAAGUCAUACCUCCUCAUCACAUCAAGGAGCUAAGAUCAGUUUAUUUUGCCCAAGAGCUUUUACAAACUCGCCCCACGUUUUUACAACUUCAAUGCAGGCAUCUCUUUUUUUGUUUUGCCACAUCGAAUAGGUUCUGUUGAAUCUUAUCCAACAUUCCUUUUACUUGUUCAACCAAAAAGACUCUAGAGAUAUCAGUCUUUUCUCCAUUGUCACGACGAACUGCACGCACCUGUCCAAUAAAACACACUUUGGUUUCAAUAAUAAGAAAAUAAUACAUAAAAGAAUAGAAGGAAAGCGGAAAUAAGAAAAAAAGGGUUAAUUGCAUGACCUUAAAGAGCUAAGAAAAUACGUAAUUUUGUUUUGGUAAUUUUGAGUACUAUUAGAGGUUAUGAAUUCCGAGGACAUGUAAGAGAAGCGCACAAGGCUACUAAUAGGAACGUGGACAGCAAAUAAUCAUCUUUUACGUAAUAAUUAAACAAAUAAGCUAUUCGAUUUUUCUUUUGGUUUGAGUUGGUAAAACGUUAGGCAUGUUCGUAUUCAACAUAAGUUUUCUGACCUUUAAAUUUUUCAUUAUUGUUGCAAAUAGAAGCACAGUCACUGAAAUGAGAAUCUCGACAUGCUUCUCGUCUUUCUGGUUGCAGGCUUCUGUUAGCAGUAUUACUAUCAAAAUUUGCAAUUGCAUUUGAAGAACCUGCAAGAAUCACAGAAUCUAAAGUACAUAUGCAUCAUAAAUUUAAUUAAACCGUUGACAAGGGAAGGCGGAAAAUAAAAAUUAAAAGAAAAAGAAAACUUCCAAAAGUUUUAUAAAAGUAAAACAUGUACAGGUUCCCGAAGUCGUACAAAAGAAUUAAAAAACUGAAGGUGCAUAAAACAACAAUUUUAUGAUCAAAUUCUUACCAGCACAUUCUAGAGAGCACUGACCUUAUAAAAUCAAAACCAUUACUUUCUAGGUGCAUCAAAAGCCCACACUAUUUGCCUAAAAGAUAAAAUCAAAAUAGUUUGUUACGAAAGCUAUAUGACAAGGCCAUCGAACUUUUGCUGACCAGCACGAUGGUUUAGCAUUCAGAGCACCCAUUUGAACAUAAACAGUUAUGAACAUAGUUUUUGAGGUCCUUAUAACGCUUAUUUGAGCAUAUAAACCAAUUCUUUCAAACUUCAAAUUGUCCAAAAUCAGAAAUUUCAAAAUAUCAAUUUUCUUUCCCUUUCCCAGUUCCUCUAAGUUAAGAACCCAUGGAAAGGGACAAUUGUAGCAUAUGAUUCUUUACAAAAGACAAAAAUCAACUUCGCCAUUAAACGGAAAUGGCGAAAUCCAUUUCAUCGAUAGCUGUACUCUGCAUUUACUCUAAACGACAAUGAAAUAUCAAAAUAAAUAUAAACUGAAACCCAAAUAAAAAGAAAGAAAAUUAACAUAAAACAACUGAAAAUAACAAUAAAACAGGGGAAAUAGAUCAAACAGAUUGGCUUCCUACAAAUUGCAUUUCCCUCUAAAAAAAAUAAAAAAAGUUCCUGAAAACACUAGCAUGAACAAGUUAACAAAAACUGAAGAAAAUGAAAUAUGGGUUUGGCUUAUUCUUAAAUUAAAAGAUGGUACCAGGAUCAGGAAGAGGGGGUGCAAUGUGUGAGAGUGCUAUCAUAGUCAAAGCUGUUACUAAGUCAGUUAGUAGUUAAACAGUUACUAAGUCAGUUAGCUGCAGCAGCUGUUAGCUUCAGUUCUUAUUUCUGUAUAAAUACAUGCAAGUCUGCAUGCAUAAAGUAAUGAAUGAAUGAAAUAUUUUAUAAAGUCUGUUAGUCUUCACACGAUUUUGAAGAACCAAAUUAAUAUUAUCUCUUUUACAAUCAUAUAAGAAAUUAAUUAAUAUAUAAAUUAGAAAACACUAGUUAAUCUAAGCUCUAAAAUCAGAAACCCUUAACACAUAAUCUCUAAACCUUAAACCCCAGCCUUUAAACCAUAAACCAUAACCCUUAAACCCUUAAUCCAUAAACCUUAAAAUGGUAACACCUAAACCUUAAACUCUAAACCAUAUACCUUAAACCAAAAACCCUAAACUAUAGUGAUAAUUAAUUCAAUAUUUUAAAAUUAAUACUAUCUCUUUUACGAUUAUAUAAGAAAUUAUUUAAAAUAUAAAUUAAAAAAAUCAGUAAUGUAUCCAAAAAACUUUAAAAUUGUUUUAAAUAAUAGUAUUUUAAUUUUUCCAUUUUUAACAAACAUUUUAAAUUAUUUUAAAUCCCUGAGCAUUAGCGGCGCUUUCUCAAAAACGCCACUAAAUCACUGAGCAUUAGCGGCGCUUUCUCAAAAACACCGCCAAAUCACUGAGCAUUAGCGGUGCUUUCUCAAAAACGCCGCUAAAGCCCUGAGCAUUAGAGGCGCUUUCUCAAAGACGCCACUAAAGCCCUAAGCACUAGUGGCGCUUUAUUAAAAACGCCUCUAAAGCCCCGAAAGCUCAGAAAACAACAUCGUUGGGCUUAUGUUUUUUGCGGCGCUUUCUGGAAAACGCCGCUAAUGCUUAUUUUUAGCGGCGUUUUCCAUAAAGCGCAGGUAAUGCUCGGUCUUUAGCGGUAUUUUUUAUCCAAACGCCGCUAAAAACGCAGCUAAAAGCCUGUUUUGGUGUAGUGAUUUCAAGUACUUUAUUAAUCCAACUUUUAUUCUCUCACACUAAUGUUGGGAAAACUGACAACUCAUGUCAUAACUAAAUACCGAAUUAAUAGCUCAAAAAUAAUAUAAGGAGACUCAUAUAAAUAUACAUUCCCAAUCUCUUAUUAUGACCCAUCUUUGUGCGUUGUGGUGGAGCAGUUGGAACAUAUAUCGCACAUCCAAAAAAUGUAAGAUGAAAAAUAUUUGGCUCUUGACCAAAAAUCAAUUGUAAUGGAGAGUAUUUAUAAUUUAUUAGCUUGAUGCAUACAACAUGUAAAUCAAUACAAUCUCAUGCUGAAAUAGAAAGUUUUGUUCUCAUAAGUAAUGAUUUAGCUAUUAGUUGGAGGCAUUUGAUAAACAAUUCAGCUAAAUGAUUUUGUGUGUGAUCAUGAGCUACAAGAUGUUCAACUUUUAUCCCAAUUGACAUGCAAUAAUCAUUGAAAAAUUGGGACGUAAACUCACCAACAUUAGCAAGAUGACUUGUUUUAAUUGCAUAUUCUGAAAUUAAUCAUUUAAACAAGCAAUCUCGCAAAAGAAAGGUUACGAAUUAAUAACGCAUGUGAUUAUUUUGUAGAUGCAUCUACCAAAAUCAUAUAAUAUCAAAAUCAUCCACAUGAUGGAUGAAUGGCCCAUAUUCAUUUCAGAAAUGUAAGACAUUAAAUCUCAACUUUAGCUAGCGAGUUUCUAAGAAUCAACUUUCAUUGAGAACAAGCAACAAAUGAGAAUUUAAAUUAAAUAAUCUUCUAGAUCUUUAAUGAAUGUCCAUAUGAAUUCUCAAUUAAUUUUCGAAUCAUAUAUGAUCCAGGAUGGUCUAACUUGUUACGCCAAGUAGUAAAUGCAUUUGUAUUAGUAAACUUCUGGAUUACUUUAACGUGUGUUUCAAUUGUACUAAAUUGUAAUAAAUUGAUAAUUUUAUUGUCAUUCUUUUAUUUUGUAUCCACAUAUAAAUACUAUUGUGACAUUUACUACUGGAAAUGUCUAAAUCUAUGUGAAGUCUAUAAUGCCACUAAGUCAAUAAAUAAAUAUAAUUUUCAAAUAAUUAUAUAUAAUAUUCGCUUUAGGGAAUAUGUCAAAAUCUUCAAAUAUAAGACAUUUGGUCUAGUGGUAUGAUUCUCGCUUAGAGUGCGAGAGGUCCCGAGUUCAAUUCAAAAUAUAAAUAAUUCAAUCCUCUUUUGAUUCAUAUCAAAAUAUAAAUAACUCAAUCCUCUUUUGAUUCAUAUCAAAUAUAAUCUUUUCCUCAUUCACAAUCUCAACAUGAGAUCCAUUAUGAAUAUCUUUUAAAACUAAUGCAUUAACCAUCACAAACUUUGUGCUGUUUAGAUAUUGAUAUAUUAGCUCUUCUAGAGCUUUCAACUAACUUUUUACUAUCAAAUAUUGGAAUAUAUUUGUUUAUUUCAGUACCAAAUAAGAUAAAUAUUUUCUAUCUGUAAUAAUAAAUUUUAUUACUACAUUCUCAUAUCCUUCCUUAAAGGAUAAUAUCAAAGACAAAAUAUUUAGGCAUACACCACAUAUGUGACCAAUAAUCUUUCAUAUCACAUUGAUAACAUAAGUUAUAUUUACCCUUUGAAAAGUUAUCUUGAGAACUCUCAUUGUUCUCUUAUUUAUUACUAUGUUCCCACUUUUAGUGGUUCAUGAGUAUAUCUUUUAUUUUCUUUAUGUUUACAUUCACUUUGGGGAAUGCAACAAAUCUAGUAGGAUGGACUUAUAAACAUCCCAAUAGAUUCUUUAUUUCAUAAUCACAAUCGCAAACAUGUGUGAGAUUUCACAUCAAAAUCUAUCUAUUCAUAUUGUCAUGAUUAGUCUCCAAUUAUAAUAAACAUUAUAUAAUACAUAAAACAUAAUAAAAUAUACCUGAAAAUCUUUAACAUAAUCGUCACCAUAUUGACUAUUAUCACUAGCACUAUUACAAGUAGUAAAACAACUUUGUUUUCGUAAUAACAUUUACAAUCUAAUAGUAAAAAUCAUUUAAUAAAUAAUUAAAAUUUUCGUGUACAAUGCUUGAAAAUUAUCUGAUACACAUUGUAUCAAAUUUCAAUACCACACAUAUGUUAUAAAAUCUUAUAUUACUCUAAUAAAAUAUUUAUAAGUUCAAUUUAAAAGAUAUCAUACAAUUAUUCAAUAUUAGAAAGUUAAUAAGACUAAAUAGAUCCUAUCAAAUUUCCUUUUACUCAGCAAUGGUAGGUUAAUAAGACUUUCCACCAUAAUUUUAAUAAAAUUUCAAGAAUAAAUAACAAGAAAAAAAAUUUAAAACACAAAAAUAUUAUGCAUAAUAUAAUUUAAUUAAAAAAACUUUAAAAAAUAGAAAAAAGAACAUACCAUAUUAAUAGUAAACAUAUCUAAUCAAUAAUUAUGUCUUUUAAAUAAAAAAAUUUUACCCUAAAAAGGCAAAAAUCAAAUACUAUCAGAAUGUGAAAUUUAUGUCAAAUAAAAAUUAAUAGUAGUUAUACCUUAAUUAAAAAAGAAAAUAUGGUCGAAAUAUAAAAGUUUCUUACCAAAUCUAUACUUUAGCCAUACUUGUACAAUAAACCAAAGAUCGAGAAUAAGAAUCACAAUCCAUUCUGAGAUUGAAUCUUUCAACAUCCUCAAGAUGAAUUUGUAAGGGAGAAAGUUUAAGGUGAAAAGGAAUUUGAUUUGUGAGACGACUUCGAAAGAUUUUGAAAAAAAUAGAAAAUAAUCGUGCUGAUAACGUGUUAUAAAUAAAGAGAGAUGAAGAGAAUAAAGAAAACAUGAAAGCAAUAAAAAUAUACUUUAUUGAUCAAAGAGAUUAUUACAAUGUUUUAUCAGAGUCUAUUUAUAAGCAUAAAAAGUAUAAAAAAGGUAGAGAUCUAAUUCUAAUAAUUAUUAAAAUCAAGUACAUGAAAACUUUAUCUUAAUUAUGAUAAACAUCCACUUAAUAAUAUAUUUAUAAUAAUUUUUAAAUUCUAUAGGCGAAUUAUUAAGUAACGGGACAACUAGGUGGCGAAAUUAACUUAUACUUUUUUGCAGAAUAUGAUUCCAGCAGUAGUUGCUAGCGUUGAAACCAUGCUUGAGAAAUGGAAAAGUAAGGAGGGCAAAGAGAUAGAAGUGUUCCAAGAGUUCAGAUUAUUGACUUCAGAAGUGAUAUCCAGAACCGCCUUUGGUAGCAGUUACUUGGAAGGGGAGAAGAUUUUUGACAUGUUGGUGACGUUGACAGUAAUUGCAGGCAGAAAUAUUUAUAAAGCAGAGAUUCCCAUCAUCAGGUAACUUCAUCAAAUCUUUACUUUGUUAGUCAACAUACUUCAGCUGCCAAUGGGUUGAUUUAAUAUGGUUUUCCUUUUCAGCAAGUUUUGGAAAUCUGCUGAUGAAAUUGAAUCAAAUAAAAUUGCCAAAAUGAUACAUGAUUCUGUGAUGAAGAUUGUUAAAAAAAGGGAAGCCAAAGUAGUGACCGGAGAAGCUGAUAACUUCGGUCGUGAUUUUCUGGGAUUACUGCUUAUCAUGAGGCGGACGAGAAAAAUAGGUUUUCGAUACAAGAUUUGGUAGAUGAGUGUAAAACUUUCUAUUUUUCUGGGCAAGAAACAGUCAAUUCCUUGCUUGCAUGGGCAACCCUGCUUUUAGCAAUACACACCGAUUGGCAAGAUAAAGCAAGAGCAGAGGUGAUUGAGGUCUUUGAUAAUCAAAACCCAGAUUCUGAAGGGAUGGCCAAAUUAAAGACGGUAAGCAAACUAUACAAAUUCAAUUGCUUCAAAACUAACAGUGAACAUUUAUAUUGCCUUUUGGAUUUCUUUUUCUCCAACAGAUUACCAUGAUUAUCAAUGAAACUUUACGGCUCUAUNNNNNNNNNNNNNNNNNNNNNNNNNNNNNNNNNNNNNNNNNNNNNNNNNNNNNNNNNNNNNNNNNNNNNNNNNNNNNNNNNNNNNNNNNNNNNNNNNNNNUCCUAUAAGUGGCGUGAUAAGAAAAGUAGGAAGAGAAGUCCGAUUAGGAACACUUGUCCUGCCUACUCAUUCAGAGGUCGACAUGCGAAUCAUAGCACUUCACCAUGAUCCUGACUUAUGGGGAGAUGAUGUUGAUCUUUUCAAACCAGAGAGGUUUGCUGAAGGGAUAGCCGAAGCUACAAAGUACAAUGCAGCUGCAUUUAUGCCCUUUGGAUUGGGACCUCGAUCUUGCGUAGGCAUGAGCUUUACAAUCAUUCAAGCGAAAAUUGCACUGUCCAUGAUUCUGCAACGCUACACUAUCAACCUCUCCCCUAGCUAUGUUCAUGCACCUUUACAACGUCUUACACUCAGGCCACAACAUGGGAUUCAGUUGUUGUUUCAUUCACUACGUUAUGAUGCUUAAAAUUCUA